UAAACAAAAAUCUGAAAAUCCAAAUCCCGCGAUGUGAGAAGUCUCAGGUCCAAAUGUAGCAAUUCCCUGCCCAGUGACAAAGCCGAACUACAAAUUGAAGUGAGAAAUCGACUAGCACCGUCGUACAACAUUUGAUUCACCCUAAUUGAUAAUUCUCAAUGAGUUUAGCAGGAAAAUUUGUGGUUUGGCUCAUUUUUUGGUCACAUAUUUACUCAGUUAUAGUUUAGGUGCCAUGUUUUCUUCACUGCCAUAUUUCCUUUUUCAUAACUAAUUUGAUUUGCUGCAUUUGAGCCGUGGGUCUUUCAAAAACAGCCUCUUCACCUCCAUGAGGUAGGGGUAAGGUAUGUGUACACUCUACCCUCUCUAGACCCCACUUGUGGGAUUACACUGGAUAUGUUGUUGUUGUUGGUGUAGUAUUUGCUCAAUUAUAGUCAUAUUUAAUUGGUUAAUUGGUUUUGAAACAAAACUUUGGCAAUUCUUGGUCGCAUCGAUAAUAACAAUUAUACAUCUAAACUUCUAAUUCUUCUGCUGGAUUAAUAUCAUUUGAGGUGUUUUCAUUGUGCAAACUGGCUGUUAGGAAUGAGAAGGAUCUGGAAAGUUUAAAUGUGUCACCUAAAACCGGAGCAUGAACUCUUUCCAGUAGUGUUACUCAGGAGAGGAAUGGGACCUUUCCAACUAUGUUCAAUGGAGGAAACCAUGAUACAUCUACAUCCAAUUACCUUUGAGAGCUGCUCCUUAUUGAAGUGAAGAUAUUCCCAUAGAAGAUGCAGAUGAUAUGAAGGAACUCAAAGAGGUUGAUCUGCAGAAACUUAGAAGGGUUAAUAUAAAUCUCAUCUUUUGGAUAGGACUUCUUUGCACAUUUCCCUGACACCCUUCAUGGUACUCAUGACUGGUUUCUUUUAUGGCCAAACACAAAGGGGAUUCACAUGGAUUGAUGGUUGCCUCCAGAGGGACCAAGUUCAAUUCAUCUGUUUAACUUAGACUCUACUGCUGGCUUACCCAAUGGAUUCCAGAGAAGUAUAUAUUAUUCCCCUUGCAGGUACUGCACGUUAGGCAGACAUGCUUAUCUUCCUUUAUCCUAAGCUGUUGAGCCAAUUAUGGUACGUGUUUUGAGCUAGACGGAGAUAUUUUAAAUGGUAAGACCGACUAUUAUGCUUGGUGAUGAGAUACAUCAAUGCGAACUUUUCAGAUGUAAUAACUCAUGAACAGCUAACAAAUAUUUUGACUUAUGUUUCUGCCUUAGUUAUCAAUUCAACAUCAUUUUUUCCUGUCCA
Long non-coding RNA from Lycium ferocissimum, 1274 nucleotides. RefSeq lists it as uncharacterized. The transcript has 6 exons. The record is from RefSeq and is a predicted model, not a curated record. NCBI's taxonomy places the organism in Eukaryota, Viridiplantae, Streptophyta, Magnoliopsida, Solanales, Solanaceae.